GAUGAACGCUAGCGGCAGGCCUCAUACAUGCAAGUCGAGGGGCAGCAUGAUACUUCGGUAUUGAUGGCGACCGGCGAACGGGUGCGUAACGCGUAUGCAAUCUGCCUUGUACAGGGGAAUAGCUUUUGGAAACGAGAAUUAAUACCCCAUAUUAUCUAAUUUUUGCAUAAAUUUUAGAUGAAAGCUCCGGCGGUACAAGAUGAGCAUGCGUCCCAUUAGCUUGUUGGUAAGGUAACGGCUUACCAAGGCUACGAUGGGUAGGGGGUCUGAGAGGAUGAUCCCCCACACUGGCACUGAGAUACGGGCCAGACUCCUACGGGAGGCAGCAGUAGGGAAUAUUGGGCAAUGGGCGCAAGCCUGACCCAGCCAUGCCGCGUGCAGGAUUGAAGGUUCUUAGAAUUGUAAACUGCUUUUAUAUGGGAGCAAUAACUUUCUGCGGAAAGGUAUGAGAGUACCAUAAGAAUAAGCACCGGCUAACUCCGUGCCAGCCGCCGCCGUAACAC
This 503-nucleotide ribosomal RNA is filed under the name uncultured bacterium. Its description in RNAcentral is "bacterial SSU rRNA". It matches the Rfam family "Bacterial small subunit ribosomal RNA", at positions 28 to 526 of the family's 1533-position model. The record is from RNAcentral.